This 357-nucleotide transfer-messenger RNA is filed under the name Caryophanales. RNAcentral's name for it is "Bacillus_T coahuilensis Standard tmRNA". It matches the Rfam family "transfer-messenger RNA". From Rfam's summary of the family: Bacterial tmRNA, also known as 10Sa RNA or SsrA, is named for its dual tRNA and mRNA-like properties. RNAcentral also lists the same sequence under 1 other name. The record is from RNAcentral. Lineage: Bacteria; Bacillati; Bacillota; Bacilli.
GGGGACGUUACGGAUUCGACAGGGAUGACUAGGGCUUAAGUUGCGAGUCGGAGGGAUCGUCUUCGUCAUCAACGUCAAGAAUUAUAACUGGCAAACAAAACAAUUUCGCUUUAGCAGCGUAAGCUAGCUAGCGGCUCCGCCUUUCCAUCGCCCAUGUGGAAUUGACCGGGGCUCAACUUUAGUGGGAUACGCCGGAGUUCACCGUCUGAGGACAAAGGAAGAGAAGAACCAGACUAGCUGUUCGGACGCCGGUCGAUAGGCAGAUGAUACAGCGAAACUCUAAUAUAUCGACUACACUCGUAGAAGCUUAAGUUGAGGUGUUUCUGGACGUGGGUUCGACUCCCACCGUCUCCACCA